This 1195-nucleotide ribosomal RNA is filed under the name Myopa buccata. RNAcentral's name for it is "partial 16S ribosomal RNA". The record is from RNAcentral. Lineage: Eukaryota; Metazoa; Arthropoda; Insecta; Diptera; Conopidae.
UCACUAUAAAUUGAUUAGUAUUUAUUUAUUAAUUAAAUUAGUGGUUUUAUUUUUUUAUUAAAAAUAUUUAUAAAAAAGUUAGUUUUAGUAUUAAUUAGAAAAAAUAAUUUAAAUUAUAGUGUAUUAGUAACGUAAGUGAAAAUUGAAAUAAGUGAAAAAUUUUUAUUAAAAAAGAAAAUUUUAUUUAUUGUACCUUGUGUAUCAGGGUUUACUAAAUAAAUCAUAAAGAUAUAUAUUUCUCGAUUUUAAAAGAUUUAACAAUUUAAUUAAGUUAAUGUAGCAAAAUUAUUUUAAAUAAAUUGUUGGAAAUGAAAAGUUAUUCGUUUUUAAAGGUAUCUAGUUUUCUUAUAAAUAAAUUUAAUUUAGAAUUUAUAAACUUUUAAUUUUUCAUUAAUAAAAUUAAAAUUUAUAAAUUUAGUAUUUUAUGGGAUAAGCUAUAAAAUAAAUUAUUAAAAACAUUAAAUUAAUUUAAAUAAAGUAAGCUUAGAAAUAGCUAUCUUUAAUAAGUUUGUUAUAAUUUAAUUUAUUAGAUAAAUUAUUUAUUUUGUUUUAAAUUUAUAUAAGAAAAAUUCUUUAAAUUUUUACAAGAAAGUUAUAAUGAUAAAAUUAGUAUAAAAAUAUGUUAUAUAAAAAUAUAAGAAAAGUAUAAAUAAAGAACUCGGCAAAAUAAUAUCCGCCUGUUUAACAAAAACAUGUCCUUUUGGAAUUUAUUUAAGGUCUAACCUGCCCAAUGAAAAUUGAAUGGCCGCAGUAUCCUAACUGUGCAAAGGUAGCAUAGUCAUUAGUCUUUUAAUUGAAGGCUGGAAUGAAUGGUUGGACGAGGUAUUAACUGUUUCAUUUAUAAUUUUUAUAGAAUUUUAUUUUUUAGUUAAAAAGCUAAAAUUUUUUUAAAAGACGAGAAGACCCUAUAAAUCUUUAUAUUAAUUUCCAUAUAAUUUUUAUAGAAAAGUUAUAGUUUUAUGAAAAUUAAUAUUUUAUUGGGGUGAUAGUAAAGUUUAAAAAACUUUUACAUUUUUGAUUUCAUUAAUUUAUGAAUUAUUGAUCCUUUAUUAAAGAUUAUUAAAAUAAGUUACUUUAGGGAUAACAGCGUAAUUUUUCUGGAGAGUUCAUAUCGAUAAAAAAGAUUGCGACCUCGAUGUUGGAUUAAGAGAUAACUUUAGGUGUAGAAGCUUAAAAGUUAAGUCUGUUCGACUUU